RNAcentral lists this long non-coding RNA (2600 nucleotides) under Homo sapiens (human). Its description in RNAcentral is "HSALNT0312993". Lineage: Eukaryota; Metazoa; Chordata; Mammalia; Primates; Hominidae. The record is from RNAcentral.
CACGUUGUGCACAUGUACCCUAAAACUUAAAGUAUAAUAAUAAAAUAAAAAGAAUAAAAAAAAGGAUGAGACCCAUUAUUUUGCUUGCGAGCUAGAUCCAAAUAUGAGUCACUAUCUUAACUGUGGCCAGAUCCACACAUGAAGGUCACAAUUCCUAUUUUGUGUAUUUACUUGUUAGACUCAGGACCUUAAGAGUGGGCUUUUGAAAUACGAAGUGAUAAAAGUAUUUACUUUCACCUGUGUGUGUAAUCGAGAAUUCUAAUCUGAACUUCUUGCUGAUUCUUGUCAUGAAACUCUCUGUACCACCCAAGGAGUUUACACACUAUGAGGUACUGUUGUAAAGUUCUGUGAGCUUGGUACAAAUAUUCAACCCCAGACCUUACCUAUUGCCCUAAGCCUAGCGAUAAAAGGCAAAAUAUUUUUUAUCGGCUGAAUCGCAAUAUAAGAUGGACAAUCAUGCCGGUGAACUGAAGUAAAGUAUAUGUCAUAGUCUUGUUUGUGAGCAAAAACUAGGCAGGGAGUUAACACCACUUAAAUAUUGUGCCAAAAUCAUGUCACAAUGCACUCUUCAGGUAGGGUAUGGGAAUCAGAGUCACAUUAACUGAGUGCUGGACUAGGCAAUAUGAAACCUUCCCAAAUGUGGAAAAAAAGAAAGAAAAAAAAAAGGAAGUAUACCAGUACCACAACCGAGGAAUACAGGGAAUCCUGAGCAAGCGGUAUUAUGAGGAGGCUGCUGGAGACUCGGUACUCUUGGAAAGGAUGUUGUGGACGGAAUGUAUUUCCCCAAAACCUCAUAUGUGGAAAUCGGAUUCUCAGUGUGAUGAUAUUUGGAGGUGGGGCCUUUAAGAGGUAAUUAGGUCAUGAAGAAAUGAACUCUCAUGAAUGGGAUUAGUGCCCUCAUAAAAGAGGCUCCAGAAUGCUUCCUUGUCCCAUCUGCCUUGUGAGGAUACAAGAAGGUAGCCAUUUAUGAACAAGGAAGCAGGCCCUCACCAAAUACCGAAUAUGCCAGUGCCUCGAUCUUGUGCUUCUCAGCCUCCCGAACUGUGAAAUACACAUUUUUGUUGUUUAUAAGCCACCCAGCCUAUGAUAUUUUUAUUAUAGCUAAAACAGACUACCAUAAAGGGUGAUUUGAAAAAUAAAGUGUGAAUUAUGUCUUUGAUUCUUUAAAUCAGUUUCUGUCUUGUUCUAUUUUUGGUCAAUUCCUAUUUUAUAGAAAUAGUAUUAGGCCAAAGAGAGGACUAAAUAUGAAAAUGCUUUCAAAGAUUUCAAAGAAAGGCAUAUAAUAAACACCAAAUAGUAUAAUAACUAUUAGUAUCCCCAUUAUUAAUGUUGUUAUUUUCUUCAUGAUGAGCAGAGCAAAAUCAUUAUUAAAAACUGAGCUGUGAGUGUUUUUUGCAUUUUAAUCUUUCUGGCAAUUUUCUUACCUAGCUUAAAAAGAUGACCCUGACAGCUAAGUCAAUUGUUUUUUUCUCCCAACUUGGACGUUCUUCUAUUUGAGUCCCUUUGUAUACACAAAGAAGGAUUCAGUUCAAAGGAGAAGAGUCCUAGUUUUCAAGUGACAUUCUUGAGCUCUAUUCUAGGCAGUACCCUUUGCUGGAGUUUUCCCUUGAACUAAUCACUUAACAUUUUACAUUUACUUUCAUCACCAUAAAAUAUGGUUAAUAAUCUUCCUAGAUGAUUGUGACAAUCAUUAAAUGAAAAGGUAUAUGUAAUGGGCACUUUAGAUCCUCUUCCUGUAUUUCAGUACUGAGCAAUUGUACCCAUCCCUCAGUGCUGAUUGUUGGCUGCUGAUAGCUCACAGCUGCUCCCUUCUCUAAAAGUUGCCAUUGACUGGGAGCUACUAGGUCAGUUAUGUGACUCGCCGACCCCUGGAGAAUUCCAUGGCCAUUGAUGGACUAAUAUGAGAGGUUCAAAAGGUCAGACCCCUUCCUUUUUAAGUAUACUAAUGAGGCAAAAUGUUUGUUUACUAAAAAAAUUAAAACUACCGUUGACUUAAAAGGUGUAUUUGAACAAACUAGAUGGUAAAUUUCUUAUCCAAAUUUAUUAAAGCACUUACUAUGAUUCAUAUCUAUGCUAUUUGCUAAGAAGAAAAUGAUAAUACAAACAUGGUCUUUGCCUUUAAGGACCUUAUAUUUCAACGUGGGAAGUAUGCACAUACACACAAAUACAAACAUACUUAUAUACAAAUCACAUUAACUCUUGGAAAUUUCUAUGACUUAUAAAACAGAGGAUAACUAGAGGUCUAAACUUAGGGUAGUCAAGAAAGACUUAACUUUAAGUAGAUGGCGGUUUGACUGAAACCUGAACAAACAUGAAAGGGCUACUAAUAAAGUACAACAGCAGAGAGAAUAUCAUCAUAUGCAGUCUUUUAGGCAGGAUAUGUUUGACAUUUGCAAGAGAAUACUGAUGUGUCAGCAGUAUAGUGAGUAAAGGUGAUUGAGGGAAGAGAUAAAGUUGAAAAGAAAGGUAAGAUCACACAAGAUUAAAUGCCAUACUAGAGAGUUUGAGUUUUGCUCUACAUGCAGUGGGAAAACACUAAAGGAUCAUAAAUGCUGAGAGUGGAAGGUGAUAUAAUUUGAAAAGAGGAGAGCGGAUCAUAA